RNAcentral lists this ribosomal RNA (439 nucleotides) under uncultured soil bacterium. RNAcentral's name for it is "bacterial SSU rRNA". It matches the Rfam family "Bacterial small subunit ribosomal RNA", at positions 66 to 519 of the family's 1533-position model. The record is from RNAcentral.
ACGAUGAACCUCCUUCGGGAGGGGAUUAGUGGCGAACGGGUGAGUAACACGUGGGCAAUCUGCCCUUCACUCUGGGACAAGCCCUGGAAACGGGGUCUAAUACCGGAUAUGACACACGACCGCAUGGUCUGUGUGUGGAAAGCUCCGGCGGUGAAGGAUGAGCCCGCGGCCUAUCAGCUUGUUGGUGGGGUGAUGGCCUACCAAGGCGACGACGGGUAGCGGGCCUGAGAGGGCGACCGGCCACACUGGGACUGAGACACGGCCCAGACUCCUACGGGAGGCAGCAGUGGGGAAUAUUGCACAAUGGGCGAAAGCCUGAUGCAGCGACGCCGCGUGAGGGAUGACGGCCUUCGGGUUGUAAACCUCUUUCAGCAGGGAAGAAGCGAGAGUGACGGUACCUGCAGAAGAAGCGCCGGCUAACUACGUGCCAGCAGCCGCG